ACCAGUGAUGAUCCAUCUCCUGUGGCUGGGCACCUUGCCCCUCAAAGGAAAUAUCUGUUGUUAAAGUGCAACACUGCUUAAAAGACGGCAUGGAAAUUGCCCAUGGCGACCCUAAAAACAAAAUAAACACAACUGUGGUUCUAUGCAACUCAACAGGCACCGGAAAAGAGAGAUAUACAGUGGUAGCUUCAUAUAUGGAAUUAGAUGGGACAGUGGAGCAAGGAGGAAGCCUGGCAGAAAACUUCUAAAGUUAAGAAUGACCCAGAACUCAAGUUCAUCAACAACAAACUUAUGUAUGUGUACCUUCCAUGACGGCAAGGUGCUAGGUAGUGAAGAAUGUGGAGUUGGGCCAUGCUCCAUCCUCCAAGCGGGGAAAGUCAUACAGCUUUGACUGUCUGGAAAGUGUGCUGGGUUGUUUACUAGUAACCUUUGAAAUACCUUUCUGUGUCAAGGAAAACUGACCCACAAAACGUGUAAGUGACUGUUCCCUACAAGUAAGUCAGCAAUGGAUUGGAGAUUAGAACUCCUUGUUCUCAGCUCUGUGUUUAGUGCACAUAAAUAACACAGCCAUCCCUACUCAGUUUUGGCUCCGAAUUGCCUUGUGUACUUGCGCUGGCAUUUUGAUGACUGCCAUCAGGUACAAACGUAUGUAGUAGAUCAUGCCAUGGUUGUGUCUUCGAAGAAAUUGAUAUCAUAGAAGGGCUCUAGCAGUGACACCAAAGAAGUAUCCACGUGUGACCUUGCUUCCUCGUGACUACUAUUAAUUUUCCAUACAGUCCUGUCCUUAAUGUUUCUUCCUGAAAUUGGGUCAAACAGCCAUACCAAGACCAAAGGCACUAUCUGGGGGGACUGCUUCCCGCUCAUCUCUGACUUGCCUCCUGACCCCCACCUUAUCAUCGGCCAACCCAAUACGGAGAAGAGCCUUCACUCCAACAAUGCUUUCCUUGUCUCUUUACCGAGGCAUGAUAUUUGGUAGCAGAAGAAGGCUUUCCAACAUUAAAAGUAAAAUAA
This is a long non-coding RNA of Symphalangus syndactylus (siamang), 1011 nucleotides long. RefSeq lists it as uncharacterized. The record is from RefSeq and is a predicted model, not a curated record. Lineage: Eukaryota; Metazoa; Chordata; Mammalia; Primates; Hylobatidae.